GGGGUGUAUGGUAAGGACUUUAUAAACUUACGAGCUUUGGGAUUGUCAAUGAAAGCGAGAUCUUUUUCAUCCAUAGUGCCAAGCACAUUGACAAUCAACUUGAGUUGGUUAAGGCACUCAGUGCCUGGAAAGAUCGGCUUGCGUCCCAACAGCUCAGCAAAGAUGCAGCCAACAGACCACACAUCUAUGGAGGUCCCAUAAUUGUCACAACAGAGAAGCAGCUCAGGUGCUCGGUACCAGC
Molecule: unclassified non-coding RNA, 241 nt
Filed under: Hevea brasiliensis (rubber tree)
Lineage: Eukaryota; Viridiplantae; Streptophyta; Magnoliopsida; Malpighiales; Euphorbiaceae
Source: RNAcentral